This 87-nucleotide transfer RNA is filed under the name Deltaproteobacteria bacterium. RNAcentral's name for it is "tRNA-Leu". It matches the Rfam family "tRNA". Rfam says of the family: Transfer RNA (tRNA) molecules are approximately 80 nucleotides in length. Their secondary structure includes four short double-helical elements and three loops (D, anti-codon, and T loops). RNAcentral also lists the same sequence under 3 other names. Lineage: Bacteria; Pseudomonadati; Myxococcota; Myxococcia. The record is from RNAcentral.
GCCGGAGUGGUGGAAUGGCAGACGCGCCGGACUCAAAAUCCGGUGGGGUUAACCCCCGUGAGGGUUCAAGUCCCUCCUCCGGCACCA